This 300-nucleotide ribosomal RNA is filed under the name uncultured bacterium. RNAcentral describes it as "bacterial SSU rRNA". It matches the Rfam family "Bacterial small subunit ribosomal RNA", at positions 1082 to 1382 of the family's 1533-position model. The record is from RNAcentral.
AAGUCCCGCAACGAGCGCAACCCUUGUCCUUAGUUGCCAGCAUUAAGUUGGGCACUCUAAGGAGACUGCCGGUGACAAACCGGAGGAAGGUGGGGACGACGUCAAGUCAUCAUGGCCCUUACGUGUAGGGCUACACACGUGCUACAAUGGCAUUUACAGUGGGAAGCGAGACAGUGAUGUGGAGCGGACCCCUUAAAGAAUGUCGUAGUCCGGAUUGGAGUCUGCAACUCGACUCCAUGAAGUCGGAAUCGCUAGUAAUCGGAUAUCAGCCAUGAUCCGGUGAAUACGUUCCCGGGCCUU